Molecule: transfer RNA, 75 nt
Filed under: Podarcis lilfordi (Lilford's wall lizard)
Lineage: Eukaryota; Metazoa; Chordata; Lepidosauria; Squamata; Lacertidae
Description: tRNA.Ile
Source: RNAcentral
AUUCUGAUAGCUCAGUUGGUUAAAGCGUGGUGCUGAUAACGACAAGGUUGCAGGUUCGAUCCUCAUAUGGGAGCA